UGAUUUUCUCCAGCCCUAGGUGAGAGCGCUGAUCUUCUCUCGGCGUCGUCGGCGCAGAUCGGAGCUCGGAGCAUAAGGGUUCCGAUUCUCUCCUCCUCUGGUUUCCUUCAAUCUCCGAUUUCUUUCUUCUCAGCCGAGUCUGCCGAUCCUUUUCUUCCCCGAUCGACAUCACUGGAUUGAGUCGUGCCGCCCGAUCGCCGGCGUGGAAGAGCAAUUAGGGCUUCAAAGGAGGCGAGGUCCUGUUCUGUGAAGGCGAUCUUGGAUUCCCUCUGUGUCGCUGCUGAUUGAGGUCUCGGGUGAAUUGGGAAAGAACUCCAGCAGAGGUUGCUGUGAGUUUUCUGAUCCAGCAAGGUGAAGAUCUGUUUUGGUUCUUGCUGUGGUGUUUUUGGCUUCGGCAGACACCUCAUCCAGCCAGCUCAGUUUGGAUCGGCAGUCAUCCAUACCUCAGUGUACUUGAUACAGCACCUAGUUCAGCUGGGAAUUGAGGUUGAGGCCGUCAGGAGAGAUUCCAGUCGCUAGCCCCUU
This is a long non-coding RNA of Zingiber officinale, 525 nucleotides long. RefSeq lists it as uncharacterized. NCBI's taxonomy places the organism in Eukaryota, Viridiplantae, Streptophyta, Magnoliopsida, Zingiberales, Zingiberaceae. The record is from RefSeq and is a predicted model, not a curated record. The transcript has 3 exons.